GACGAACGCUGGCGGCGUGCUUAACACAUGCAAGUCGAACGGUGAAGCGCCUUCCUUUUUGGUGGGUGUGGAUGAGUGGCGAACGGGUGAGUAACACGUGAGUAACCUGCCCCCUUCUUCUGGAUAACCGCAUGAAAGUGUGGCUAAUACGGGAUAUUCUGGGUCUGUCGCAUGAUGGGUCUGGGAAAGAUAUUGUUUCGGUGGGGGAUGGGCUCGCUGCCUAUCAGCUUGUUGGUGGGGUGAUGGCCUACCAAGGCGGUGACGGGUAGCCGGCCUGAGAGGGUGGACGGUCACACUGGGACGGAGACACGGCCCAGACUCCUACGGGGGGCAGCAGUGGGGAUUAUUGCACAAUGGGCGAAAGCCUGAUGCAGCGACGCCGCGUGAGGGAUGGAGGCCUUCGGGUUGUGAACCUCUUUCGCCAGUGAAGCAGGCCUGCCUCGUUUGUGGGUGGGUUGACGGUAGCUGGAUAAGAAGCGCCGGCUAACUACGUG
RNAcentral lists this ribosomal RNA (494 nucleotides) under uncultured bacterium. Its description in RNAcentral is "partial 16S ribosomal RNA". It matches the Rfam family "Bacterial small subunit ribosomal RNA", at positions 28 to 507 of the family's 1533-position model. The record is from RNAcentral.